GACGAACGCUGGCGGCGUGCCUAAUACAUGCAAGUUGAGCGCUGAAGGUUGGUACUUGUACCGACUGGAUGAGCAGCGAACGGGUGAGUAACGCGUGGGGAAUCUGCCUUUUAGCGGGGGACAACGUUUGGAAACGCAUGCUAAUACCGCAUAAAAACUUUAAACACAAGUUUUAAGUUUGAAAUAUGCAAUUGCAUCACUCAAAGAUUAUCCCGCGUUGUAUUAGCUAGUUGGUGAGGUAAAGGCUCACCAAGGCGAUGAUACAUAGCCGACCUGAGAGGGGGAUCGGCGACAUGGGGACGGGGACAGGGCCAAAACGCCUACGGGAGGGCGCAGUAGGGAACCGUCGGCAACGGAGGAAAGUCUGACCGAGUAACGCCGAGCCAGUGAAGAAGGGUCUCGGAUCGGAAAACUCGGUUGGUAGAGAAGAACGUUGGUGGGAGUGGAAAGCUCAUCAAGUGACGGUACCUACACAGAAAGCGACGGCUAACUACGUG
Molecule: ribosomal RNA, 497 nt
Filed under: uncultured bacterium
Lineage: Bacteria
Description: partial 16S ribosomal RNA
Rfam family: Bacterial small subunit ribosomal RNA
Source: RNAcentral